This 464-nucleotide ribosomal RNA is filed under the name Bacillus licheniformis. RNAcentral's name for it is "bacterial SSU rRNA". It matches the Rfam family "Bacterial small subunit ribosomal RNA", at positions 998 to 1464 of the family's 1533-position model. The record is from RNAcentral. Lineage: Bacteria; Bacillati; Bacillota; Bacilli; Caryophanales; Bacillaceae.
CCCUAGGGAUUGGGCUUCCCCUUCGGGGGCAGAGUGACAGGUGGUGCAUGGUUGUCGUCAGCUCGUGUCGUGAGAUGUUGGGUUAAGUCCCGCAACGAGCGCAACCCUUGAUCUUAGUUGCCAGCAUUCAGUUGGGCACUCUAAGGUGACUGCCGGUGACAAACCGGAGGAAGGUGGGGAUGACGUCAAAUCAUCAUGCCCCUUAUGACCUGGGCUACACACGUGCUACAAUGGGCAGAACAAAGGGCAGCGAAGCCGCGAGGCUAAGCCAAUCCCACAAAUCUGUUCUCAGUUCGGAUCGCAGUCUGCAACUCGACUGCGUGAAGCUGGAAUCGCUAGUAAUCGCGGAUCAGCAUGCCGCGGUGAAUACGUUCCCGGGCCUUGUACACACCGCCCGUCACACCACGAGAGUUUGUAACACCCGAAGUCGGUGAGGUAACCUUAGGAGCCAGCCGCCGAAGGUG